Molecule: ribosomal RNA, 511 nt
Filed under: uncultured bacterium
Lineage: Bacteria
Description: SSU rRNA
Rfam family: Bacterial small subunit ribosomal RNA
Source: RNAcentral
AGGACGAACGCUGGCGGCGCGCUUAACACAUGCAAGUCGAGCGAGAACCAGGGCUUCGGCUCUGGGGACAGCGGCGAACGGGUGAGUAACACGUGGGUAAUCAACCCUCGACAUCGGGAUAGCCCGGGGAAACCCGGAUUAAUACCGAAUGCUCCGUCUGGCCUUCGGGCCGGCCGGAAAAGGUAGCUUCGGCCUCCGGUCGGGGACGAGCCCGCGGCGGAUUAGCUUGUUGGUGGGGUAAAGGCCCACCAAGGCGACGAUCCGUAGCUGGUCUGAGAGGACGAUCAGCCACACUGGGACUGAGACACGGCCCAGACUCCUACGGGAGGCAGCAGUGGGGAAUCUUGCGCAAUGGGCGAAAGCCUGACGCAGCGACGCCGCGUGAGGGAAGAAGGCCUUCGGGUUGUAAACCUCUUUCAGGAGGGACGAAGCCACUCGGGUUAAUAGCCCAGAGGGUGACGGUACCUCCGAGAAGAAGCCCCGGCUAACUACGUGCCAGCAGCCGCGGUAA